Molecule: long non-coding RNA, 4546 nt
Organism: Cyprinus carpio carpio
Lineage: Eukaryota; Metazoa; Chordata; Actinopteri; Cypriniformes; Cyprinidae
Source: Ensembl
CGGGGUCACCCUGACGUCUCCGCGGAUCCGCAGCUUCGGUCUCCAAAUUCAAAUGCCGUGAUCACAGUCCACGUCUCUGCAUAUAUACCACAGUAUCACGUACAGGAUGAGCAAAAUGGCAAAAAUAAACAGAGCUACAAGGAUAGCCUUAGUCACUGGUGAGAUGAGAGACUGCAUUUCAGCAGCCGGCGCACGAGCACAGCUCACUUCGCAACAGUCCGCCGAGGCGCAUGGAUGCUCGACCGCCCGCUCGCUCCUCACCAUCCGAACAGACCUUCGGCUUCUGGAGCUGGAUUCUCCCGCAAUCUCCAGCGGAUUAUUCACACGCGUUCCGUCGUUCGUGGUGGAGACGCAUCAUGAGCGGUCCUCUGGAGAAAGCCGGCGGCUGCGAACCGUGCUCGGAUUGGAGAGCAGACGCAGCGGCUCUGGCUCUGGUGUGGAACAGGUUGAUUCGCCUUUUUCAACUUCAUCAGAUGGAACUGUCCAUUGAAGCCCCGUGUGAAGGGGGGAGACCACAGAGGUUGACCCUCAGUGAUAGAAAUGAACAAACAAAAGAGCAAAGAACGUUAUGAAGUGUAAAAACUCACAUUUGUUUCAUUUAUGACAUAAAUACGAUUAUUACUUUAUCUGAGAUAUUAGUACUACUGUGGCCACUGAUAUAGCUAUACUUUCAAGGGUUAAUAAUUGUAUCUAUUUUUUUUUUUUUUUUUUUUUGCAGAAUCCAGUUAGCCAACAUUUUUUCUUUAACAAAUACUGACUUUCUUAGAUAUUUUUAUAAGUAAAACUAUAAAGUGUCGAAUAUUGGCACUUUCCUUAACGUUCCAUCCGAUUAUUGUAAAGCGCUCAAGUUGCGUACUGUUGCUAUGGUUACCUCCUCAGGGAUAGCAAUUCCAGCUUGUUUGACGCCAUGUAAAAUUAUGCGUCCUGACAAACUCGCACUGACUGUUUGAGAUACAUUUGUGAUAAAUAACACUAUACAGUGUCAAAUAGUGCCACAUUUUUGUUAAUGUGUUAGCCGAUAUAUCGCUCAAGUCACAUACUGUUGCUAUGGUUACCUCUUCAGCCAUAGCAAUAGCUUGUUUGAUGGCAUGUAAAAUUAUGUGUCCUGAAAAACUUGUACUGACUUUUUGUGAUAAAUAACACUAUACAGUGUCAAAUAACGGCACUGUUUUGUUAACAUUUUAGCCGAUAAAUCGCUCAAGUCACAUACUGUUGCUAUGGUUACCUCUUCAGCGAUGACAAUUCCCAUUUGCGAGAGCCUGUUUGAUGCCAGGUAAAAUUAUGCGCUCUGACUAACUUGUACUGACUUUUUUAGAUAAAUGUGUGAUAAAUAACACUAUACAGUGUCAAAUAAUGGUACUGUUUUGUUAACGUUUUAGCCGAUAAAUCGCUCAACUCGCGUACUGUUUAAUCCCAGGUAAAAUUAUCCGCCCUGACUGACUUGUACUGACUUUCUGAGAUACGUUUAUGAUAGAGUAAACUAUAAAGUGUCAAAUAUUAACACUGUUUUGUCAGAGUUACACCCGAUGAUGACACUUUCAUAAAGCACUCAAGCCUGGUACUGUUGCUAUGGUUACCUCCUGAAGAGAUGCAAAUUCUGUUUGCUAGCCUAUAAAUAAUGCCAGGUGAAAACACACACCCCUCGACUUUUUUUAGAUAGUUUAUGAUAAGUAAGACUAUAAAGUGUCAAAUAUUGUCACUGUUGAUGAUGCUAUAGUAAAGCACUCAAGUCAUAUACUGUUGCUAUGGUUACCUCUGCUCACGCACAUGCAUUUACGGCCAGUUGAAAUUCUAAUGAUAAAAUAAUGAUUACUGAAGUUUGUCUUUCGAGAAAUCAUACUUCUUUGUACAUCAAAAUUUCACGUUUAGUCUAUUUAAUGUGUUACUUUAGUUUCUUUGUAGUUAGUUGUGUAAUGUACUAAAAGUAAAGUUUUUUCUUGCUGCAGUGUACGCUUUUUGUGCUUUUACUUAAAAAAAAGAAAAGAACUAGAACUGUUUGUUUACUAACGUUGGCAGCUCAAGCCUCAUCCGCACCGCGCCCUUCUGAUAAGUUACCCGUGCAAACAAAGAAUUAGCACAGUUUGCGUUCUGAGCGACGAAACCUGCCUGAAGACAGAUAUGACAUUCAGCUCCUGAGCUCGAGCUCAGUGCGUGCUGCUGAAGUUCAGUAGUGAAAGGUUUCCUGAACGUUACAGAGGGAACUUCCCCAGCGGUCCGAAACGGAUGAAUGGAGCUGCUCUGCUCUCAAAGCCCGAGCACUUCUGGCAUAGGUGGGUUUCUAGCAAACUGAAAACCAAUGCUGAAGCCCCAAACCGCUGUCUAAAAAGAAGCCAGCUUGCUAGGUUUUAAACCAACUCCGUUCAUUGCGUUCCGUCGCUCUGGGGAAGUUCAACGUUUAGGAAACCUCUCGAGACGCAUUCGGGGGACUGGGUGGGUGUUUACUGCAAAAUCGUUCUAGGAGGUCAAGAAACCUUGCUAUGAAUUUAAACGCGAUUUCUAAAGGAAAACAAGAAUGGAUCAAUAACAGUAACGUCAUGCACUGAGAUAAAUAGCGUGGAAACCCAUGUGCACGGUGCGCGCUUUUGUUCAACCCAGAAGCGUCGGGCGGGGGAGGGACGCCUCGUGCAUCCUCCGUGUGCACGAGACUUCAGUGAGAAACAAGCGAGACAGACCUGCAAUUGGAUCCUACACAAGUCAAUCCCACAUGUGGGUGGGCGGUGGAUUCAGAGCUGCACACCCAGUAAAGUUUGUGCAACAAAAGGUUGCGGGAAAGUUGCGCACGAACACGAUUCACACUUACACCUGAACUCUACAUGCGCUAAAAGCGAUCAAGCAAGCUGCCUUUAACACACGAUUGAGCUCAGUUUCAUUCAAGCCACAAUGAUGUCAUACUUGUGGAUUUUCGUCCUUGGAAGUUUAAUCGUGACUGGAGUGAAGAUGCAAGACGAUGGAGUGGAAGGCGCAGACAAUGCCGCUGCAGACGCUGAAGAACCAGCUAAAGAACCAUCACCUGAAGAAACAUCACCUGAAGAAAUAUCACCGGAAGAAACAUCACCGGAAGAAACAUCACCUGAAGAAAUAUCACCGGAAGAACCAGCACCUGAAGAACCAGCACCCGAAGAACCAGCACCUGAAGAACCAGCACCUGGAGAAAUAUCACCUGAAGAAACACCUGAAGACCCAGCGGAGGAUGCUGUGGAUGAGGCAGCAGCUACUGCAGAGCCUGAAGACACCAACCCUGAGUCAGACGCUGCGAUAGAAGAGGCUGAAGAAACACCAGCAGCUGAAGAGAAACCUGCUGAAGCAGAAGCAGAAGAAGCAGCGGCUCCUGAAGCAGAUGACGCCGAUGCAACUAAAACAGAAGCCGAUCCACCUGCUGAAGAUCCUGAACAAGAAAUCAAGCCCGAAGAAGCUCCAGAUGAUGCAGAAACAGAGGAAGCACAAGAGGAAGCAGAAGGAGGGGAAGCAGAAGCAGGUGCAGAGACUGAAGCAGACUUUACUGCUGUACCAGAGGAACCUGUGGACCCUGAAGGGGCUGUGGAAGAUAUGUCUGCAGAAUUCGAUCUUUCUGAUGCGUUCGAAGAGAAAGCACAACCACAGGAUCCAGUAAAGACAAAAAUGGGAGAUGCAGACCAGCACAGCGCAGGUCAAGGCAGAGCUCGCAGUGCUGGAGCAGUUUCUGAGCCGAACGACAGUGGAUCUGGUACGGUUGUUGGUGUUGUUUGUGGGAUUGCAGUAGCAGCUGUUGGUGCCAUAAUCGGAUACUUCACCUACCAGAAGAAGAAACUGUGCUUCAAGGUCCAGAGAGGUGAUCCAGAGAGUGCCAAAGAAGAGAACGGCACACAGAACCCUGAGGUUUUAAGCACCCUCCUGAAGUCAUCUGAACACGCCCCUGCAGCCGGCAGUGAACUUGCGUGAAGCUACUGUGAACUGCUUUACAUGGGAGCAGGACGUUGUAACUACCCACAUCUUGAGAACCGGAUGAACUUCACAAACACAUUCACAGUACAGAAAGUCAGCACAAAUAUCAUUUCUACACUCACUCUGAGUUCCUGACGCACAUUAAGUCCUUUUUCAUAAUAUCUCAUCUUCCUACUGCUUCGACUACAGUUCUAAACUAGCACAUAGGACUGUUAAUAAUACAUGUUUUGAAUGUAAUUUCACAUCGUUUGAGUGGAACGGGAUGUGUGCGUGUAUGCAUGUGUAAUUCGACAGCCUUUUGGUAGAGGCAUUUCAUUUCGUUACUUUAAAAAAUGUCGUUUGGUUUCAUUACUGUGUCAUUGAUCGCAGUUUUGUUUGAUGUCAAAUUGUUGCCUCUGAUUCAUAAAAGAGCAAAUCUCACAAUGUGGAAUGAUUCAAAUUGUAUUGUCUGACCAAACAGAAUUCAUAGGAAUUUUUCUUUCUAUUUUUUGUUUUGUUUUAAAAUUCUGUAAAUAAUUGUUGCGUUUGAAUAAAGAGUGGUUACAUUUAAAAGACGUUACACAUUUAAUUGCACAGUUUCAUAAUGCAACGAAAAAAAAAAAACAGAAUUGCAAAUAAAUUAAAC